RNAcentral lists this transfer RNA (71 nucleotides) under Chryseobacterium sp. G0240. RNAcentral describes it as "tRNA-Asn". It matches the Rfam family "tRNA". From Rfam's summary of the family: Transfer RNA (tRNA) molecules are approximately 80 nucleotides in length. Lineage: Bacteria; Pseudomonadati; Bacteroidota; Flavobacteriia; Flavobacteriales; Weeksellaceae. The record is from RNAcentral.
GAUUUCGUAGCUCAAAGCAGAGCACCGGUCUGUUAAACCGGAGGUUGGAAGUUAGAAUCUUUCCGGAAUCG